UACGUAGGUGGCGAGCGUUGUCCGGAAUUACUGGGUGUAAAGGGCGUGUAGGCGGGAAUGCAAGUUGGAUGUGAAAUUCCGGGGCUUAACCUCGGCGCUGCAUCCGAAACUGCAUUUCUUGAGUGCUGGAGAGGAAAGCGGAAUUCCUAGUGUAGCGGUGAAAUGCGUAGAUAUUAGGAGGAACACCAGUGGCGAAGGCGGCUUUCUGGACAGUAACUGACGCUGAGGCGCGAAAGCGUGGGGAGCAAACAGG
RNAcentral lists this ribosomal RNA (253 nucleotides) under uncultured bacterium. Its description in RNAcentral is "partial 16S ribosomal RNA". It matches the Rfam family "Bacterial small subunit ribosomal RNA", at positions 524 to 776 of the family's 1533-position model. The record is from RNAcentral.